UCAGCAUCUGCCUGCCUGUGUGCAUCAGUCGUAUGAAACUGGCUAAUUUCUUCAAGAUUCAAGACGUCACGAACUUCGGCUGAGCCCUUUCCAGUGGCUGCUGCAGAGGCCACGAUGAGAAGGAGGAUGCUUGCCACUCGUAGGUCCAUCUUGCAAGCUCAAACCUGUGGGGAAAAAGAAAAGGGAUUGUCAGUACAACUGUCCCACAGGAAUUGAUGUUUCUGGUUUCUUCGCCAUACUGACCGAGGCGCAACCCACACCCAAAGAGAAGAGCAUAAUUGGCGGUUGAUGUAAAGAGACCCAGCGAAGCACAAAAUUUCAACAAGGGGACCACGGUGUGUGUUCCAACUACAGAGGGAUCAGCUAUGAACCUCACCGCACAUCACUGGGUUUCUGGGCACGCCCCAUCAGGAGGCGACCCAGAGAAAAACCCAGGACACAUUGGAGGGGUUCUGCUUCCCGACUGGCCCUGGAACGCCUUAGGAUUCCCCUGCAAGCGCUGGCCUAAGUCGCUGCAGAGAGGGAAGUCUGGGAUUCCCUGCUUAGGCUGCUGCUCCUAAGGGGAAGAUAAUAAAUAAAUGAUUG
Molecule: long non-coding RNA, 585 nt
Organism: Gambusia affinis (western mosquitofish)
Lineage: Eukaryota; Metazoa; Chordata; Actinopteri; Cyprinodontiformes; Poeciliidae
Exons: 5
Source: RefSeq, a predicted model, not a curated record